GGGCGCUGACCACAUUUCCGGGAGGUCAGCAAUAUAGAAACAACCGGAGAAAGUACCUGCUUGUCAGAAUAUUCUGUUAAAAUGGGAAGCUGCGGGAUCGCUGGCUUCUUCCCCUCUUCCCUUGGUUCCACCCCAAGACAGCAGCACACGUAAGCUUUCCCCAAGGCCAACCUAGCCGACUUGACGUAUAUUCCUGAGAUCUCUCCUUUCCCUCUGCCGUCCUUGUCUCUACGUUGAUUUGAAAGCCAAAAUGGGUAUCAAAGUGACUAGUAAUAACUCUAAAGUCUGAGGGAAGCGGGAAAUAAUGAAAAAGAGGGAUCUGGUGGACUCCGAUGGGGGCUGAGCCUAGAUCGUCGUUCUAGGGUGAUUUGUCUGACAUGUACUAUCCCAAAGACUUGUUCCUGGCCUUUCUCUUUGGAGUCAAAGGAGGACAGACCAGACCAGGUGGUGGAAAUUUCAACUGAUGACAUUCAGUGCUUCUCAGAUUACAUGGCAUUACGGAUCCCCAAGAGCCACAUCCAAGGCCUGAAGCAGUGGCUGUUCAGAACCCUGCAUGUACCAGGUAAGGGGGCCCCAUUAACUGCCACAACUACCUCUGACAUCAGAG
RNAcentral lists this long non-coding RNA (607 nucleotides) under Monodelphis domestica (gray short-tailed opossum). Its description in RNAcentral is "lncRNA (ENSMODG00000044501.1)". Lineage: Eukaryota; Metazoa; Chordata; Mammalia; Didelphimorphia; Didelphidae. The record is from RNAcentral.